Molecule: long non-coding RNA, 4001 nt
Organism: Pseudopipra pipra
Lineage: Eukaryota; Metazoa; Chordata; Aves; Passeriformes; Pipridae
Exons: 3
Source: RefSeq, a predicted model, not a curated record
UCUGUUUCUAGGCAGUGGUGGCAGGAGAAAGCAUCUCAGCUCCAGUUCAGCCCAGGGUUAUGCUCUGGGGGAGCAACCAAUCUCUGGCUCAGAGCUCUCGCUCCAUUUGAUUUAGGCAAGAGCCUGGACAUAGUCUUUGCUAUUCCGCACUGGUUGGAGAGAAAAAGAAAAAACCCCGAACCUUAAACUUCCUGACCUCUAUGCCUGUUACAUCUGACCAUACAAAGUACUGAGAAUUUAUGCCAGGGGGAAGCCUUUCAGAUCAGAGACCUUUUGUAAGGUGGGAACUGUCAUUACUCUGUUGGGGUCCCAAUGCAUGAGAGGGGCUCCAAGGCAGUGUAUUCAUGCCCAUCUGUGGCAUGGAUGUUGUUGAAUUUAAAAUUAUUAUCAGCUUUGGUAAUAGGUCAGAAAAGUAACAAACCAAACAGAUUAUGGUUGUAUCUGGUGUCUCAGAUACACCUUUGCUUUGGAGUUCCUGUAUGUAGCUAGUUUUUUUUAGCAUAGUUUGGGGAACAUUUAAAUAAUGAAUUUAAACAGGAGAAUUCUAUUUGCAUUCAGUUAAUGCUUGAUGGAUUGAACAUGUGGGUUUUCCUCAUCUCCACUGUGUUAUUUAAGCAUUUCAGUAAAAGUGCAAAAAAAGGUCUUGAAAAUGUUAUUUGCAGCUGUUGUUGCUACUGUGCAUCGUCCUGCCUGCUCUUUGGCUGCACACGGAGAGUACUGCUGGAAGGUACGGGUCCUGCUACACCGAGAUAGAAAGAUCAGUGUUAAAGUGAAGGUGGAUAAGAGGUUGUUAUUUGCAGACCAAAAUCACCAGGGCAUAAGAGUUUUUAAACCCUUUAAAAAUAAUUCUCUUUCUACAAUUCAAGUGAAAUUUGCACUGUCUUGGAAAUGUCCUUAAAAUCUUCAUUAUAGAGAAGAAAUCUGUGCAGAUUAAACACUCUAAGUCUGACCAUUUGAGAGGUAAGACAAUCACUAUAAUUAUAAAUACUUCUGUUGUCAUGUGUGAUCAAGUGGUUUCGCUGUUGUAGCUUAAAUAUAUUAACUUUAACCCUUUUUAAUUACGGAUUUAGCACAAUGGUGACUGAGUCCCUCCUAGAAUCCGGCAAUCACCCCGGGCCUCUCUUUAUGCUCAAAAUAUGUAGACUAAUAGAGAGAAAUUCCAAGGAGGAUAGAAAACAUGACUGAGAAGUUGGAAGGAUUUUUUUAUGAGGAAAGAUUAGGAGAAUGAAAUGGGGAGCUUUAGUUAAAUGGGAUUAAAAGCAACUAAUCUGCAUGGCUUUUAUAGUUUCAAGGGAUGAAACCCAUAAUUCCUCUUAAAUUAACUAUGCUUCAUUCUUCAAGCUUGUGUAUCAGAUAUCUGAUUACUGCUUUACUUAUUAAAGAAUAACUUCUACUAUCAACAAUUUUGAUUUUUCAUAAUUGUAAGAAAAGAAACUGUUCAGAGGAGCAAAAUGAUAACAAAGGGAUGGGUUAUAACUGGGGACAAGCAUACAGAGUGUUCAGAUGAGGAAUGGCAUUGCUUGACUUGGUAAAUAUUGAUUCUGACUAUCAGGAAAGAGAAUUUUUUAAAGCUAACGAUAGCUGGGCACAGGCCCAGACUUCCUCUCAGUAGCACCUACAGGUAGCAAAACAGUUUUUCAGAAGGGAUUCUAGGAUCACCAUUGCAAGAAACACAGAUUACCAGUUUGGAUUAAGAACUGGGACAAGAUUUAGCAGUGAGAGCAACCUGACAGACCCAAGUUACACAGUAAUUCUUGCAUUUGGUAAUUUUUCUUAUCUUCUUUUUUUUUUUUUUUAAUAAAAUAUGAAUUGCCUCACAUGCAUACAGACAGCUUUGAUGUGAUUUAUUAUUAUCAUUAGAAACUAUCUUGAGAAAAAUUUCAUUAUGAGUUUUUCCAGGAACUUUCUAUACCUUCAGAAAGGGGCAGCAUGUGUCUUAAAAAUUUUUAUACUAACUUAAAUUAAUCCAAAACCAACAGCUUUAUGCAAACAUAAACCAAAAUUAAUGCAAUGAUGAAUUGGGGCCCACAUCUUGGACCUUUCUGAAUCCUAAAUAACAAAUACAAGGAAGAUGUGGUUUGUUAUGAACUGGAUAUUUUUUUAACUUUACAGGAUUAAUGGAACUUCACAAGAAAAAUUUUCUUAAGAGAUGGAGGAUAAACAAUUCUUACAGAUUGCAGUUUCUACUUGAAACACUUCACAACAAAAACAGCCCUUAAUAACUGAGGUGAAGUGUGAAACACAGGCUAUUGGACUCUGACAAAACCUGGAAAGAUCACUAAGAUCAGCUUUCAGGUAAGCAUAAAUAAGGAGAUGGAAUGUCUCAUUUUACCUGUGAAUUUUACAUAUUGAAGCUGGGAUUAAAGUCUGUCUUGAGUUCUUGCAGUGGAAACAAAGCUAACCUUUCAGUUCUUGGUUAGCUACAGGGAUUUUAGCAUUUCCUUUAUAGCAUGCACCUUAAAGAGCAGAAGAGAGGCAGCUCAGGUAAGUGCUUUGGCAGCCUUGAAUGCUUUGCAAUCUCUGUAGAGCAGGACAUAACAUGGUCAAUCUCUCUUUCCCAGCUAGUUUACAGCACAGUAAGCUUGCUAUUGUUGAUAGCGUGGAAUAGCUGUACACUAGAACAAUGGUAAACCUGUGCUGGGUAAUUAAGCAGUGCAAUUCCUAACUGACUGGAAUUUUAAUAUGUAUAGAUUGGAAAUGUGUGGGAAAGGUUCACAAAAUUUCCUCUGAACCUUGUGAUAUAUGAUCCUGCAAUGGGUUUCAGUUGUGUUCAGUGCAAGAGUUCCUCGAUGGGGAAACCUUCUAUACAGAACUAAUAUUGUGUAACCCAAAUCUGGGUGGGUUUUAUUUAUUGCCAAGUUAGGGGUUCACAUUGUCCUAAGAGAAUUGCUUUUCUUACUCCUGUGUGACUUCAGAAACAAAUGGUAUUUGUGCAUUGAUUGAUGUCAAUAGGAUUUCCACUACUGAGUGGAGGGGGGGGGGUGGGUAGUGAUGCUGGGACAUCCUCUUAAAUGUUGGCAGUGCCCCUACAGACCUGCUGUUUCUGAACAGAGAAGGGCUGGUGGUAGAUGUGGUGGUUGUAGGCUAUCCUGGGUAGCGACAAUGAAAUGAUAAGGCUUUUCAAUCCUCAAUGAAGUACGGAAGGGGGUCAACAAAACUUCUGCCUUGGACUUCUGGAGGGGGGACUUCAGUCUGUCCAGCACACUGGUUCAGAGAAUCCUUUGGGAAAUAGCCCUUAAAAACAAAAGGGUCCAGGAAGGCUGGACAUACUUUAAAAAGGAAAUCUAAAGGGUGCAGGGGCAGACCAUCCCUAUGUGCUGACAGGUGAAUUGGCAGGGAAGACCACCAGCCCGGAUGAACAGGGAGCUUUGCUGAAAUACAGGGACAAAAAAGAGUUUAUAACCUUUGGAAGAAGGGAUAGGCAACUCAGAAAGAAUACAAGAAUGUUGUUAGGUCACAUAAAGUAAAAAUUAGAGAGGCGAAAGCUCAGCUAGAACUCAAUCUGAGUGGUUAGAACAGCCACUGCUGUGAAAGAUAACUGAAAGUGUUUUUAUAAAUACAUUAACAACAAAAAGAGGGCCAAGGAAAAUUUGCAUCCUUUAUUGGAUGCGGAGGGGACCAUUGUAACCAAGGAUGAAGAAAAGGCUGAGGUACUUAAUGCUGCCUUUCCCUUCAUCUUCAACAGAAAGACCAGUUAUCCUCAGCUGAACUGGUCCCCCCGAGCUGGUAAACAGGGACUGGGAGCAGAGCAGAUGCCAUGGUAUCCAGGAGGAAGUAGUUACUGAUGUCCUGUUCCACUCGGACACACUCAAGUCUAUGAGGCCCAAUGGGAUUUACCUGACGGUGCUAAAGGAGCUGGUGGAGGAGCUCUCCAAGCCAAUCCAUCAUUUAUCAUCAGUCCCAGUUAACCAGGGAGGUACUAGAUGACUGGAGGUUGGCCAAUGUGACGUACAUCUACAAGAAGGACUGGAAGGAGGGUCUGGGGAACUAUAAGUCUGUCA